UACAUCCUACGGGGGGCAGCAGUGGGGGAUAUUGCACAAUGGGGGGAACCCUGCUGCAGCGACGCCGCGUGGGUGAAGAAGCGCCUCGGCGCGUAAAGCCCUGUCAGCAGGGAAGAAAAUGACGGUACCUGAAGAGGAAGCCCCGGCUAACUACGUGCCAGCAGCCGCGGUAAUACGUAGGGGGCAAGCGUUAUCCGGAUUUACUGGGUGUAAAGGGGGCGCAGACGGCGAUGCAAGCCAGGAGUGAAAGCCCGAGGCC
Molecule: ribosomal RNA, 259 nt
Filed under: uncultured bacterium
Lineage: Bacteria
Description: partial 16S ribosomal RNA
Rfam family: Bacterial small subunit ribosomal RNA
Source: RNAcentral